Hordeum vulgare subsp. vulgare (domesticated barley) is the source of this 1232-nucleotide long non-coding RNA. RefSeq lists it as uncharacterized. The transcript has 2 exons. The record is from RefSeq and is a predicted model, not a curated record. Lineage: Eukaryota; Viridiplantae; Streptophyta; Magnoliopsida; Poales; Poaceae.
AGCUUCAGCGUGUCCUAGCGUGUUAAACAGCCUCGGGGAGUCCACGUAGCCCCUCUCCAGCACCUUCCCCGUCCUCCUUAUUCCUCCCCACGCCACGGCAGUCGCCGCCGCGACACUGUUCCGCUCGUGUGCAUCGUCGUCUUCCCUCGCUGAUGUCUUCUUCUCUCCCGAGACGUCCCAUCCCCUGUGGAGCGUCAGGUCGGCACCGAGUGCGUCCAAGCCAGCUCACCGCGAGCUCUACUGCGGUGAUAAGGAUGCCACGGCGUCAUGCUCAUCCGCUCGUUGUCGGCCGGCUAUAAAUAGCCACGACCGAGCCCCUCCCCGAGCACCUCGACUCCUCGGCAGACUCCCCUCCUUCCUAGCUCUCUCCUUGUCCAAAGAAUCGAACGUUGGAGCUCUUCUCCCUCCUCUUCGAUAGGGAACGCGGUCGUGAUCCCCUUGGGUCAAUCCGAGCAGCAGCCCCUCCCCUUCCCUAUUAGCCGCCUCAAAUGGAACCCACGAGUCCCCAGGAAGCCGUCGAGCCGCCUAGCUUCUCCGAGGGAUGACCGGAGCAUCGACGCCGACAACGUCCGAUGCGCUCCCCGCUGUGAAGGACGGCGUCGUCAUCCUGGCCAUCGUCGGGCUCCGUGCACCCCCGGGAUGGGUGCGGCUGGCUCCCCUGAGAACGCUAGUAGACUGGACGUCACCGGAGGUGGCCCGAGUCGCCGGAAAGACCGACGGCGUCGGUGGCCCUCCUCUGCUGUGCGUGCAAUGGCGAGAGGUAGAAGAAGGAGAGAGAGGAGAGAGAAAGGGACCCAACAGGUGGGCCCCGACCCCACCUGUCGAUGAGAGAGACACCCGCCAGGGUGGAUAAGUGGAGGUGUAUUUAUAAAAAUACGCUUUCCUUCAGCAGAAAGCGUAUUUCUGGAGAAGGCGCGAGUGGCUGUUCUCUGAGGGACCCGAUGGCAAUUAUUUUAAUUGCAAAUUGGUCCUUCCUCUUCAAAUGCUUAUAUCUUUUUGCUCGGGACUCCAAUUGAGCCCCUUCGAGAGAUAGAGGUAUCCGAUGAUCUUUUCCGCGGACUCUCCGCACCUCUUCCGGGAGUAUUCAUCGACCCCAGGCAAGCCGGCCAUCUAAUAUAUGCCCUCAAGCUUUGCUUUGUGUUAUUUCUGCAUGAUUAAAUUAAUAUGUUUGUGAUUGUAUGGAUAGUAAUGUGAUGUAUGUGACUCUAACGAACCCUUGCUCGCAUUUUCUA